GGAGAGGUCGCAUAGUUUGGCCUAGUGCGCGCGACUGGAAAUCGCGUAGGGUGUAAAAAGCCCUCGCGGGUUCGAAUCCCGCCCUCUCCGCCA
This 93-nucleotide transfer RNA is filed under the name Chloroflexota bacterium. Its description in RNAcentral is "tRNA-Ser". It matches the Rfam family "tRNA". From Rfam's summary of the family: Transfer RNA (tRNA) molecules are approximately 80 nucleotides in length. Their secondary structure includes four short double-helical elements and three loops (D, anti-codon, and T loops). Lineage: Bacteria; Bacillati; Chloroflexota. The record is from RNAcentral.